CUGAAUUAUACUAUUUCAAAAUUCAAACCCUAAACCCUAAAACUCAACUCUAAACCCUAAACCAUCAGUCCUAAACUCUAUUUUUUUAAAUACGAACCUUAAACCCUAAACCAUCAAUCCUAAACCCUAUUUUUUUUUAAAUAAACCCUAAACCCUGAAACAUCAACUCUAAUCUCUAAACCCCGAAACAUCAACUCUAAACCCUAAACCCUAAACCUUCAACUCUAAACCCUGAAACAUCAAUUCUAAACCCUAAACCCUAAACCUUCAACUCUAAACGCUAAAACAUCAACUCUAAACCCUAAACCCUAAACUUCAACCCUAAACCCUAAACCAUCAACACUAAACCCUAAACUAUCAACACUAAACCCUAAACCCUAAACCCUAAAAAGUAAACUCUAAACCCUAAACCCUAAAAAUUAACCCUAAACCCUAAAACAUCAACUCUAAACCCUAAACCCUAAACCUUCAACUCUAAACCCUGAACCCUAAAUCCU
This 497-nucleotide long non-coding RNA is filed under the name Brassica napus (rape). RNAcentral's name for it is "long non-coding RNA (BNAP_LNC015792)". The record is from RNAcentral. Lineage: Eukaryota; Viridiplantae; Streptophyta; Magnoliopsida; Brassicales; Brassicaceae.